GACGAACGCUGGCGGCGUGCUUAACACAUGCAAGUCGAACGGAAAGGCCCCUUUGGGGGUACUCGAGUGGCGAACGGGUGGGUAACACGUGAGUAACCUGCCCUUGACUUCGGGAUAACUUCAGGCAACUGGGGCUAAUACCGGAUAGGAAUCCUUGCUGCAUGGUGGGGGUUGGAAAGCUACGGCGGUUUUGGAUGGACUCGCGGCUUAUCUGCUUGUUGGUGGGGUAGUGGCUUACCAAGGCUUUGGCGGGUAGGCGGCCUGAGAGGGCGACCGGCCACAAUGGGACUGGGAUUCGGCCCCGACUCCUACGGGGGGCAGCAGGGGGGAAUAUUGCACAAUGGGCGGAAGCCUGAUGCAGCAACGCCGCGUGCGGGAUGACGGGCUUCGGGUUGUAAACCGCUUUCAGCAGGGGCGAAGCUUGUGGUGACGGUACCUGCAGAAGAAGCACCGGCUAACUACGUG
Molecule: ribosomal RNA, 465 nt
Filed under: uncultured bacterium
Lineage: Bacteria
Description: partial 16S ribosomal RNA
Rfam family: Bacterial small subunit ribosomal RNA
Source: RNAcentral